GGAAAAUUUUGAGUUGGGAUAACCUCCAAAACCAGAGGAGAUUUCUUUUUAAAAAGUCAUUAUCAUCAGAUGUUUCUAAAAUGUUUAAAAUUCAGAGGCAGAUUGCCGGCAACAGCCAUUUUAGGAUAGUUUGUGGUUUGAACUUAGUGACUUAGGAGUCCUCUUCACUAUUCCUAACAUUUCACAGAUUUGGAGCUUUAAUUUGAGUCCUAAAUUUAGUAUUGACAUGCCCAUUAUUUUUUAGAUUAUGAGCUAAAGUUAUGAGCUACUUUUUUGUUUUGUGAAUAUGGGCCCUUGAGUUUGUGCAUUUGUGCAUUUAUUGACAGUCUCAAGUUUCUUUUUUCUUAAAUACAGGAAACAAAAUAAAGUGACAGAUGAACAGUGAAAGAAUGAGAUAUUUUUAUUUUAUUUUAUUUAUAAUUAUUAUUAUUAUUAUUAUUAUUUUGAAAAAGAGUAGAAGACUUGCAAUAAACUCAGGAAUUAUAAGUUCCAAGAGGUUGGCAGAGGAAGAAGUGAGAGAAAGCAGAGAUCAAGUGAUCUAAAUGAGCAGGUUUUAUUGAAUAAUCUUAGUUCCGUCUGUUUCAGUGCUCAGCUGGACUUCAUCUGACCACAACAAAUGUGCAUGUUGAAUUAAUGCAAUGGAAAAUUACCCCUUCACAGCAUCAUCAUGUGGCGUUAAAAACCUUUUGACAAACUAAAGACAGAUAUGUCUGUGAUUGGCUACAUUGCCAGAUCUUCAAUUACUUUUGCUUUAAUUUGAGGGUAUUUAGCACCCCCUAGUACCCCUGUAGAACCGGGCCUGGGCUUGGCUAUGUACUCCAAUUGCAGCAGGGCUUAUAUUGGGGAUUCCAUGACUACCGACAUAUGGGGGGAACUUUGUGAACUUUGUGAAAUGUGAAUUUAGAAAAGUUGUCAUUUAUUGAACAUCCUUGAGACACACCAUAUGACAAUUCUGAGAUUUAGCUAAAAAAUAAUUAAAUAAUAAUAAUAAUAAAUCUUAUAACAAAGAAGUUUUUAUGACAAUGGUUCCAUGUUAGACAAAAACAUUUUAAAUGAUGACAAUAGUAAUUAUUUAAGUUUUUAUCUUGUGACAGUAAAAAAUGUCAUGUCAUGCAACAACACAUUUAAGCAAACUUUUAAAACUUUUUAAAAUGUAAAAUUAAAGAGUUUAACAAAAAAAAAAAUCUGUGAGAUUAAUGUUUAAAACAAAAACACCUGGUUAUGAAAAUUAUAUUAGAGAACAAUAAAAAUGAUAAUAAUAAUAAUAAUAAAUGGGCUGGCAUGACAGGCCAGAUUAUAAUGCAAAAAUAGUCAAACAUAAGUGUAAACAUGUUGAAACCUGAGUACCGCGGGACCCAACGCAACAGGGUGCGGCGCGGGACAACUCUUGAUGGGUGGGAAGAGUCUGUGAGCAGAAUCUGUCCCGUGCAGGUUUCUAAUACAGAGAUAAGAGAUGCUUAUAACUACACAUCCUAUUAUAGUGUGUAUACUAAUUACAGCGUAGAUAUUGUAUGCAGCCUAAUUUGCAUGCAUCAGGGAGCCGCAGCCGCUCUCAAACUGCUGGAAUUAAAAAUGGGCGCCACUAUUUGUAAAUUCUAUGGGUCUAGCUUCCGGUCUCAUUUGCAUCAAGCUAUUUUUAGCUGUACAAAACAGUUUGUUUUGCUGCUUGAUAUUGACAAUUGACGUGUCCUAUCAUAUUAUUUUAAUCUGUUAUCUUGAUUAAGAACACACUGGUUUGUACUGCAAACUGUUUUACCGUUUACUGCACGUUGUUAUUCUCCUCGUUAUUUACCUAUAGCAGCUAAUGAAAUGGAAGUCUCACCCAUAGGCUUACUUCCGCGUUGAGGAAAAUGGUGGAUAUCGUGCACCCCUAAUUUUGCAUAAGCAUCUUAAGCAACAUGCUUGUUGUUGAGUUGGGGUGAUGCUUCCCUCAUAAAUAUAGUAUUAAGCCAACCUUUCCCAUUGCUGGCCAUUCAUAUUGCAUCAGUUGUGUUGGGGAGUUUUGGCAUAUGGUUGUUUUGGGGGUUUGUCUUGCUGCUCUC
Cyprinus carpio carpio is the source of this 2042-nucleotide long non-coding RNA. The record is from Ensembl. NCBI's taxonomy places the organism in Eukaryota, Metazoa, Chordata, Actinopteri, Cypriniformes, Cyprinidae.